UACAGAGGGUGCGAGCGUUAAUCGGAAUUACUGGGCGUAAAGCGUGCGUAGACGGUUAUUUAAGUCGGGUGUGAAAGCCCCGGGCUCAACCUGGGAAUUGCAUUCGAGACUGAAUAGCUAGGGUACGGUAGAGGGAAGUGGAAUUUCCGGUGUAGCGGUGAAAUGCGUAGAUAUCGGAAGGAACAUCAGUGGCGAAAGCGACUUCCUGGACCAGUACCGACGUUCAGGCACGAAAGCGUGGGGAGCAAACAGGA
RNAcentral lists this ribosomal RNA (254 nucleotides) under uncultured bacterium. RNAcentral's name for it is "partial 16S ribosomal RNA". It matches the Rfam family "Bacterial small subunit ribosomal RNA", at positions 524 to 777 of the family's 1533-position model. The record is from RNAcentral. RNAcentral also lists the same sequence under 1 other name.